UUCCCUCGACUAUAGUGCCCUAGUCCUGAUUAUUGAUCCUAGAACUGAAGGUUCACUGACCGUAGCUGGAGAAAGAAUGGAGAAGCUAGUGGGAGCCUUAUUCAUGAUCUUAUGUCUUCAAUGGAGCUGGGUAAGCAGCCAACAAACGGUGGAGCAGAGUCCUCAGUCCUUGAAGGUCCAGGAGGGAGACAGCGCUGCUCUCAACUGCAGUUACUCAGACAGUGCUUCCUGGGGGCUUCAGUGGUUCAAGCAGGAUCUUGAGAAAGACCUCACCUCCCUAUUUUUCAUGACUUCUGAGGAGAAGGAGACAGGAAGGUUAAGAUCCACAAUCAACAGAAAGGAGCGUCUCAGCACCCUGUACAUCACAGCCUCCCAGCCUGGAGACUCGGGCACCUACCUCUGUGGUGUGGAGGCACAGUGA
Molecule: non-coding RNA, 421 nt
Organism: Vombatus ursinus (common wombat)
Lineage: Eukaryota; Metazoa; Chordata; Mammalia; Diprotodontia; Vombatidae
Source: the annotation of a RefSeq genome assembly